Molecule: non-coding RNA, 72 nt
Organism: Bos taurus (domestic cattle)
Lineage: Eukaryota; Metazoa; Chordata; Mammalia; Artiodactyla; Bovidae
Source: Rfam
UCCCUGGUGGCCCAGUAGUUAAGAAUCUGCCUUCCAAUGCAGGGGACACAGGUUCAAUUCCUGUUCAGGGAA